Molecule: ribosomal RNA, 253 nt
Filed under: uncultured bacterium
Lineage: Bacteria
Description: partial 16S ribosomal RNA
Rfam family: Bacterial small subunit ribosomal RNA
Source: RNAcentral
GACAGAGGGUGCAAACGUUGUUCGGAAUUACUGGGCGUAAAGGGCGCGUAGGCGGCACUGUUAGUCAGGCGUGAAAUUCCUGGGCUCAACCUGGGGACUGCGCUUGAUACGGCAGAGCUAGAGGAUGGAAGAGGCUCGCGGAAUUCCCAGUGUAGAGGUGAAAUUCGUAGAUAUUGGGAAGAACACCGGUGGCGAAGGCGGCGAGCUGGUCCAUUACUGACGCUGAGGCGCGACAGCGUGGGGAGCAAACAGG